This 486-nucleotide ribosomal RNA is filed under the name uncultured bacterium. RNAcentral describes it as "partial 16S ribosomal RNA". It matches the Rfam family "Bacterial small subunit ribosomal RNA", at positions 30 to 507 of the family's 1533-position model. The record is from RNAcentral.
AUUGAACGCUGGCGGCAUGCCUUACACAUGCAAGUCGAACGGCAGCACGGGUGCUUGCACCUGGUGGCGAGUGGCGAACGGGUGAGUAAUACAUCGGAACAUGUCCUGUAGUGGGGGAUAGCCCGGCGAAAGCCGGAUUAAUACCGCAUACGAUCUACGGAUGAAAGCGGGGGACCUUCGGGCCUCGCGCGUUCGGGUUGGCCGAUGGCUGAUUAGCUAGUUGGUGGGGUAAAGGCCUACCAAGGCGACGAUCAGUAGCUGGUCUGAGAGGACGACCAGCCACACUGGGACUGAGACACGGCCCAGACUCCUACGGGAGGCAGCAGUGGGGAAUUUUGGACAAUGGGCGAAAGCCUGAUCCAGCAAUGCCGCGUGUGUGAAGAAGGCCUUCGGGUUGUAAAGCACUUUUGUCCGGAAAGAAAUCCUUGGCUCUAAUACAGUCGGGGGAUGACGGUACCGGAAGAAUAAGCACCGGCUAACUACGUG